Molecule: unclassified non-coding RNA, 87 nt
Filed under: Kaistella jeonii
Lineage: Bacteria; Pseudomonadati; Bacteroidota; Flavobacteriia; Flavobacteriales; Weeksellaceae
Description: Chryseobacterium jeonii Flavo-1 RNA
Source: RNAcentral
CUGCGGCUGCGAUAGGAGCGGUUACCCCACAGCAAGCGUUGGGAAAAGCUUUGGCGCGAGGAGUAUGAGCGUAUAGCGCGAAUUGUC